Molecule: long non-coding RNA, 958 nt
Filed under: Marmota monax (woodchuck)
Lineage: Eukaryota; Metazoa; Chordata; Mammalia; Rodentia; Sciuridae
Source: RNAcentral
AAAUCCUGAGAGCAAAACAGGCUUAUUGUCAGAAAUAAUGCAAACUGAAAGACAGUGUAGAGACAUCUUUAAAGUCCUGAAAGAAAAGAAGAACUAGCAACUGAUAUUUCUAUAUCCAGCCAAAAUAUAUUUUAAAGAAGAAGAAAGAAAGGACCUUCUCAGACUACAAGAACUGAGAGAAGUUAUUGCCAUGGGGCCUACUCAAUAAGAAAUGUCAGAGAAAGUUCUUCAAGCACCAAGAUUAUGACAUCAGGCUCAAAUCUGAAUCCACACAAAGAAAAAAGGACUCUGGAAAUGGAAUAACUGAAUAAAGUUAAAAUAAAAUUCAUCUUUCUUAUUUUUAAUUGUUCUAAAAGAAAACAGACUGUCAAAAAAAACAGUCUUAGUGGCAAUGUAUUCUGUUUUUGUUUGGUAAAAUGAAAGGUGAGAGAAGACAGCCUGAGGGGCUGGGCUCUGAAUGUGUCCCUCAAACGCACAGGAUGAAACUGAUUCAUUUGUGGGACAAUAGGAAGAGGUCGGGAUUUGGGGUGACGUGCCCUCAUGUGUUAAGUGGGGACUUAAGAACCUCAUAAAUGUUGUGGGAAGCCACCUCCUUCCCUCUGCCCUUUCCCCUCUGACUUUGUCUUGUUGAGUCGCAGGGGUCUGGCGCCCACUUGAAAGCAGAGAGAAGUUUUCACCACAUCCCAAACCUGCUGGCCCCUUGAUCUCGAACUUCUCAGCUUUCAGAAUUGUAAGAAAUAAAUUGAUUAUUUAUGGUACCCAACUUGAAGUAUUCUGUUUAUUGCAGCAGCUCAAACGAAUGAAAACAUGAUGGAAUGGAAAAGUUAAGAAUUUAACUGGGGUUGUCAUUGUAGCUCAGGAGUGGAGCGUUUGCCUAGCAUGGGUGAGGCACUGGGUUUGACCCCUGGCACCACAUAAAAAUAAAAACAAAUAAAAUAUAGGUAUUGUGUCCAUCGAC